UUGGUAUUUCCAUUGGUAUACAAACUUAUGGAGUUGACUUUGAUAUUGCUGGUGUCCACGACAUCCAUUGAUAGAGCUUUUUCAGAAAUGACGAUUAUCAAGAAUAAACGGAGCAAGAUCAAUAUUGAAUGGCUCAACGACUAGAUGAUAUGUUACACCAGGCGGGAGUUAUUCAAGUUAGUUGAUGAUAAGGACAUUAUUCGAAAAUUUACUGCAAUGAGGACUCGAAAAGGGCAUUUGCCUCGUGAUUUUCUUUAG
Molecule: ribosomal RNA, 258 nt
Filed under: Triticum aestivum (bread wheat)
Lineage: Eukaryota; Viridiplantae; Streptophyta; Magnoliopsida; Poales; Poaceae
Description: partial small subunit ribosomal RNA
Source: RNAcentral